AGAGAGAGAGAGAGAGAGAGCACGGCUGAGAAAGACCAAGAGGAAGAAAGAAAAGGGAAGAAGAAAGCCUUGUGGGAUAUCAAAACUCAAGCUAAAAAUUAUGAAAAACUCAUCAUGAGGUGGGCAUCCGAGGCCUUAUAUCGACUUAACCCGCUGUGAGCACACUAAGCAACAAGGAUAGAGAAAGACUCAGAGUUUACCUGUGUCAACCUUUAGAAGAGCUUCCAGAAUGGAGCAAGUAAGGCUCGAGUAGAGCCAAGAAAAUCAGCCAUUUAGCUUCAUCAGAGUUUUUUUGUGUUUUGCUGAGUCUUAAAUGUAUAUAUGUGUGUGAGAUAUAUGAAACUUGUAUAUGUUUAUAAAUUAUUAUUGUAUCGUGUAGGUACA
Molecule: non-coding RNA, 384 nt
Organism: Camellia sinensis
Lineage: Eukaryota; Viridiplantae; Streptophyta; Magnoliopsida; Ericales; Theaceae
Source: RefSeq, a predicted model, not a curated record